CAGCAAGCUGUCUAGGGUUCCGUUCGAACGACUUGCAGCACUCGGCUAUGAUCGGGUGGGCACGGGUUUGAGUUCUGGUCCGAGAGAUGGCGUAUAGCAAGCGGCAGCCUUGAUUGGCGCCUAGGCUGUAUAACACGGAAGGAUAAAAGCCUGGGAGAU
This 159-nucleotide non-coding RNA is filed under the name Bacillus sp. (in: firmicutes). Lineage: Bacteria; Bacillati; Bacillota; Bacilli; Caryophanales; Bacillaceae. RNAcentral also lists the same sequence under 1 other name. The record is from RNAcentral.